RNAcentral lists this ribosomal RNA (1177 nucleotides) under uncultured organism. RNAcentral describes it as "bacterial SSU rRNA". It matches the Rfam family "Bacterial small subunit ribosomal RNA", at positions 22 to 1197 of the family's 1533-position model. The record is from RNAcentral.
GCUCAGGAUGAACGCUAGCGGCAGGCUUAACACAUGCAAGUCGAGGGGUAACAGGUCACUUCGGUGAUGCUGACGACCGGCGCACGGGUGAGUAACGCGUAUGGAACCUACCUGAAACAGGGGGAUAGCUUCCGGAAACGGGGAUUAAUACCGCAUACGAUUCAUUUGUGGCCUCACAAAUGGAUAAAAGCUACGGCGGUUUCAGAUGGCCAUGCGUACCAUUAGUUAGUUGGUGAGGUAAAGGCUCACCAAGGCGAUGAUGGUUAGGGGUCCUGAGAGGGUAGUCCCCCACACUGGUACUGAGACACGGACCAGACUCCUACGGGAGGCAGCAGUGAGGAAUAUUGGUCAAUGGGCGCUAGCCUGAACCAGCCAUGCCGCGUGCAGGAAGACGGCCCUACGGGUUGUAAACUGCUUUUCUGCAGGAAGAAUAUAUAGUCUUAGGGGUAUAUUGACGGUACUGCAGGAAUAAGCAUCGGCUAACUCCGUGCCAGCAGCCGCGGUAAUACGGAGGAUGCAAGCGUUAUCCGGAUUCAUUGGGUUUAAAGGGUGCGCAGGCUGUAAGGCAAGCCAGUGGUGAAAGCCCUGGGCUUAACUCAGGGAUUGCCAUUGAAACUGUUUUACUAGAGUGUAGUAGAGGACGGCGGAAUGAGUUGUGUAGCGGUGAAAUGCAUAGAUAUAACUCAGAACACCUAUUGCGUAGGCAGCUGUCUAUACUACAACUGACGCUGAGGCAACGAAAGCGUGGGGAGCGAACAGGAUUAGAUACCCUGGUAGUCCACGCUGUAAACGAUGAUCACUCGUUGUUGGCUACUUAGUAGUCAGUGACCAAGGGAAACCGAUAAGUGAUCCACAUGGGGAGUACGUCGGCAACGAUGAAACUCAAAGGAAUUGACGGGGGCCCGCACAAGCGGAGGAACAUGUGGUUUAAUUCGAUGAUACGCGAGGAACCUUACCUGGGCUUAAAUGCUGGCUGCAUUGGAGGGAAACCUUCAUUUCCUACGGGACCGCCAGCAAGGUGCUGCAUGGUUGUCGUCAGCCCGUGCCGUGAGGUGUCGGGUUAAGUCCCAUAACGAGCGCAACCCCUAUCGCUAGUUGCCAGCAUGUAAUGGUGGGGACUCUAGCGAGACUGCCGGUGUAAACCGGAGGAAGGUGGGGAUGACGUCAAAUCAGCACG